RNAcentral lists this ribosomal RNA (387 nucleotides) under uncultured bacterium. RNAcentral describes it as "partial 16S ribosomal RNA". It matches the Rfam family "Bacterial small subunit ribosomal RNA", at positions 355 to 733 of the family's 1533-position model. The record is from RNAcentral.
UGGGGAAUUUUGGACAAUGGGGGCAACCCUGAUCCAGCAAUGCCGCGUGUGUGAAGAAGGCCUUCGGGUUGUAAAGCACUUUUGUCCGGAAAGAAAACGUCGUGGUUAAUACCCGUGGCGGCUGACGGUACCGGAAGAAUAAGCACCGGCUAACUACGUGCCAGCAGCCGCGGUAAUACGUAGGGUGCAAGCGUUAAUCGGAAUUACUGGGCGUAAAGCGUGCGCAGGCGGUCCGCUAAGACAGAUGUGAAAUCCCCGGGCUUAACCUGGGAACUGCAUUUGUGACUGGCGGGCUAGAGUAUGGCAGAGGGGGGUUAGAAUUCCACGUGUAGCAGUGAAAUGCGUAGAGAUGUGGAGGAAUACCGAUGGCGAAGGCAGCCCCCUGGG